UCCUUGGUGGUUCAGGAGCUAAGAAUCCGAGCUUCCAACGCAGGGGGCCCAGGUUCAAUCCCUGGUCAGGGAA
RNAcentral lists this transfer RNA (73 nucleotides) under Bos taurus (domestic cattle). It matches the Rfam family "tRNA". Rfam says of the family: Transfer RNA (tRNA) molecules are approximately 80 nucleotides in length. Their secondary structure includes four short double-helical elements and three loops (D, anti-codon, and T loops). RNAcentral also lists the same sequence under 2 other names. The record is from Rfam by way of RNAcentral. Lineage: Eukaryota; Metazoa; Chordata; Mammalia; Artiodactyla; Bovidae.